UGGGGAAUUUUGCGCAAUGGACGAAAGUCUGACGCAGCAACGCCGCGUGGGUGAUGAAGGUCUUCGGAUUGUAAAACCCUGUCGUCGGGGACGAAGGUAGGCUUGUUAAUAGCGAGUUUGCUUGACGGUACCCGGAGAGGAAGCCCCGGCUAACUCUGUGCCAGCAGCCGCGGUAAUACAGAGGGGGCAAGCGUUAUUCGGAAUUAUUGGGCGUAAAGGGCGCGUAGGCGGUGAUUCAAGUCGGAUGUGUAAUCCCCGAGCUCAACUUGGGAACUGCAUCCGAGACUGUGUCGCUAGAGUGCUGGAGAGGGUGGUGGAAUUCCUCGUGUAGCGGUGAAAUGCGUAGAGAUGAGGAGGAACACCAGUGGCGAAGGCGGCCACCUGGACAGUAACUGACGCUGAGGCGCGAAAGUGUGGGGAGCAAACAGG
RNAcentral lists this ribosomal RNA (429 nucleotides) under uncultured bacterium. RNAcentral describes it as "bacterial SSU rRNA". It matches the Rfam family "Bacterial small subunit ribosomal RNA", at positions 355 to 776 of the family's 1533-position model. The record is from RNAcentral.